Molecule: ribosomal RNA, 253 nt
Filed under: uncultured bacterium
Lineage: Bacteria
Description: partial 16S ribosomal RNA
Rfam family: Bacterial small subunit ribosomal RNA
Source: RNAcentral
UACGGAGGAUCCAAGCGUUAUCCGGAAUCAUUGGGUUUAAAGGGCUCGUAGGCGGUUUAAUAAGUCAGUGGUGAAAGCCCAUCGCUCAACGGUGGAACGGCCAUUGAUACUGUUAAACUUGAAUUAUUAGGAAGUAACUAGAAUAUGUAGUGUAGCGGUGAAAUGCUUAGAUAUGACUUAGAACACCAAUUGCGAAGGCAGCUUGCUAAACAAACAUUGACGCUGAGGCACGAAAGCGUGGGGAUCAAACAGG